AUUAACCAUUUACUAACCCGAUAUUAACCCGUUACUAACCCGUUACUAACCCGAUAUUAACCAUUUACUAACCCGUUCCUAACCCGAUAUUAACCAUUUACUAACCAUUUACUAACCCGAUAUUAACCCGUUACUAACCCGAUAUUAACCAUUUACUAACCCGUUACUAACCCGAUAUUAACCAUUUACUAACCCGAUAUUAACCCGUUCCUAACCCGAUAUUAACCCGUUACUAACCCGAUAUUAACCAUUUACUAACCCGUUACUAACCCGAUAUUAACCAUUUACUAACCCGAUAUUAACCCGUUACUAACCCGUUAUUAACCCAUUACUAACCCGUUACUAACCCGUUCCUAACCCGUUCCUAACCCGGAAUUAACAACCCAAAGCCGCCACAGAAAUCCCGGGUUAUUUUUUCCCAGGGGCGGGGCCGGGGGCGGGGCCAGGCAGGGGCGGCACCAUUUAACUUAAUUAAAUAAUUAACAGCAAGAGUGACUCGGGAAUUGAGCACAUUCCAGAGAAAACGUGGAGAGCGGCGGGACAGAGACAGGGAAGUCACAGCGGGACCCUGCACGGUCAUUAACACGAUUAAUUAAUUAAUUAAUUAACAUGACAAUUAAUCAACACGAUUAAUUAACCACUGGCAGCGAUUGGAGGUGGAUCUGGGAAUACACCGGGAUAAGGGCAGCUCCAAAUCCAUUUCCCGGGAUGGGACAGGGAUGGGACAGGGACAGGGAUGGGACAGGGAUGGGACAGGGAUGGGACAGGGACAGGGACGGGACAGGGACAGGGAUGGGGUCACAGGGGUCACAGCCAGACCCUACACGAUCAUUAACACAAUUAAUUAACCACUGGUACUAAUUGGAGGUGGAUUUGGGAAUACACCGGGAUUAGGGUGGCUCCGAA
Molecule: long non-coding RNA, 906 nt
Filed under: Cyanistes caeruleus (blue tit)
Lineage: Eukaryota; Metazoa; Chordata; Aves; Passeriformes; Paridae
Description: lncRNA (ENSCCEG00000005712.1)
Source: RNAcentral